UAAACCGCUGACGUCACAAUGAUGCGCACGGGUGGACCGUUCUAUUCUGUUGGCCGUGGGCCAGCCAUAUCGACUCAGCACUUUCGCGAGCAAGGCGCAGCACAUCCGACCAGCGCGAAGGUUCACUACUCACUACUACUUCAUUCCUUUUUCAUUUUCUGUUCUUGUUAUUCCUCCAUGUCUGUCUUUCUCUCUUUGUCUUCUCUUUCGUCUUGUUCUUCAGCCAGGGCGGGGUUGCCAAACACUGUCCUCCACCGCCACCACAUACAGCAGCACCACACAACACCUCAGGGGAAGUGGAUCUUCAUGUGCCUGGCAAUACUCCGUUUGGUUUUGAAAUGUUUUAGACAAACAUCACACUUGAACUCUCUCAGAUCAGAGUGUGUGACAACGUGGUUGUUCAACUCAGCCUUAGAAAAGAAACUUCUGUCACACUCAAGGCAUUGAUGAGGUCUUUCACCAGUGUGUGUAAGUAUGUGUCUAUUUAGUUCACCCUUCACACCGAACCUUCUGUUACACUCAGGGCAUUCAUGAGGUCUUUCACCAGUGUGUGUAAGGGUGUGUGUGUUAAGGUGACUCUUCCUACUGAACACUUUGCCACACUCUUGGCAUUCAUGAGGUCUUUCACCAGUGUGUGUAAGGGUGUGUCUGUUAAGGUGACUCUUCCUACUGAACACUUUGCCACACUCUUGGCAUUCAUGAGGUCUUUCACCAGUGUGUGUAAGGGUGUGUCUGUUAAGUUGACUCUUCCUACUGAACACUUUGCCACACUCUUGGCAUUCAUGAGGUCUUUCACCAGUGUGUGUAAGGGUGUGUGUGUUAAGGUUACCCUUCCUACUGAACACUUUGCCACACACUAGGCAUUCAUGAGGUCUUUCACCAGUGUGUGUAAGGGUGUGUGUGUUAAGGUUACCCUUCCUACUGAACACUUUGCCACACACUAGGCAUUCAUGAGGUCUUUCACCAGUGUGUGUAAGGGUAUGUCUAAUCAGGUCACUCUUCUGACCAAACACUUUGCCACACUCUUGGCAUUCAUGAGGUCUUCCACCAGAGUAUGUGGGUGUGUUUGUUGAGGUCACCCUUCCCAGGGAGUCUUUUCCCACACUCUUGGCACUCAUGCUUCCCUUCAGCAGUGUGUGCAAGGAUAUGUCUGGUGACCUUGCUCUCGGUCUCAAAUCUUCUCUCACUCAAACUCGACCGUUCCUUUAUGGCUGGAGAUGCUAGUUGCAAAGUGGUGGUGGUGGUGGUGGUUCUCCUGACCACCCCUGAUCAGAGCAUGCAAGGUGCUGUUCAAAGUUAUGGCAUUAAUUUUUUUUCUUUGGCACAAAAUAUGAUGAAGGAAUUGCACUGUACUGUAGUGCAUGGUCUAGCACUGAUCCUCACAGCAGUGGCAGGCUGCUCCUGCUGGUCCUGGCCCCUCAGGCUGCUGCCCGGCCCUGCAGCCUCCACUGCAACAUAAGUUCGCGGCAGUGAGGACGCAGCACGGCACCCGCCUCAGACUCUCGCUGCUGCACCAGCACCAGGGGUGGCUGUUGGGACAAAGAUCACAGCCUCAUAGAAACAUGCUUCAAACUGAAUACCAAAAGCAUCUACAAAUUCCAUAAAAUGUAGCAGAGCACAACACAGUUACUGGUUUUCAACCCCAAUAUUGUGACAACUGCAUCAAAGAAACUGAGGCAAAAUAGACCCAGAGCAGUGAACUAGCUGCCCCUGACAACCUGGAGGCAACCAUGCAGCAGGCAGCUGAAAAGCACCUUGUGGAUAUGGGAAGAGGAAAACAGAGACAGAACAAUG
Long non-coding RNA from Eriocheir sinensis (Chinese mitten crab), 1794 nucleotides. RefSeq lists it as uncharacterized. The record is from RefSeq and is a predicted model, not a curated record. Lineage: Eukaryota; Metazoa; Arthropoda; Malacostraca; Decapoda; Varunidae. The transcript is spliced from 3 exons.